This 485-nucleotide ribosomal RNA is filed under the name uncultured bacterium. Its description in RNAcentral is "bacterial SSU rRNA". It matches the Rfam family "Bacterial small subunit ribosomal RNA", at positions 8 to 507 of the family's 1533-position model. The record is from RNAcentral.
AGAGUUUGAUCAUGGCUCAGACAAACGCUGGCGGCGUGCCUAAUACAUGCAAGUCGAACGAGGAAGUCCCUUCGGGGAUUGUACUAGUGGCGUACGGGUGAGUAACGCGUGGAUAAUCUUCCUUAAAGUGGGGAAUAACUAGUCGAAAGAUUAGCUAAUACCGCAUAAGACCACAGGAUCUUCGGAUCAAGGGGUUAAAGCCUUACGGCGCUUUAAGAUGAGUCUGCGCCCGAUUAGCUAGUUGGUGAGGUAAUAGCUCACCAAGGCGACGAUCGGUAGCUGGUCUGAGAGGACGGCCAGCCACACUGGGACUGAGACACGGCCCAGACUCCUACGGGAGGCAGCAGUAGGGAAUAUUGCACAAUGGAGGAAACUCUGAUGCAGCGACGCCGCGUGAGUGACGAAGGCCUUCGGGUUGUAAAGCUCUGUUCUCAGGGAAAAAGAAAGUGAUUGUACCUGAGGAGAAAGGACCGGCUAACUUCGUG